Molecule: ribosomal RNA, 392 nt
Filed under: uncultured bacterium
Lineage: Bacteria
Description: partial 16S ribosomal RNA
Rfam family: Bacterial small subunit ribosomal RNA
Source: RNAcentral
AUACGGAGGAUGCGAGCGUUAUCCGGAUUUAUUGGGUUUAAAGGGAGCGUAGGUGGGAUAUUAAGUCAGCUGUGAAAGUUUGGGGCUCAACCUUAAAAUUGCAGUUGAUACUGGUUUCCUUGAGUACAGUAGAGGUGGGCGGAAUUCGUGGUGUAGCGGUGAAAUGCUUAGAUAUCACGAAGAACUCCGAUUGCGAAGGCAGCUCACUAGACUGUUACUGACACUGAUGCUCGAAAGUGUGGGUAUCAAACAGGAUUAGAUACCCUGGUAGUCCACACAGUAAACGAUGAAUACUCGCUGUUUGCGAUAUACAGUAAGCGGCCAAGCGAAAGCAUUAAGUAUUCCACCUGGGGAGUACGCCGGCAGCGGUGAAAAUCAAAUGAAUUGGCGGG